This is a long non-coding RNA of Bos taurus (domestic cattle), 1142 nucleotides long. NCBI's taxonomy places the organism in Eukaryota, Metazoa, Chordata, Mammalia, Artiodactyla, Bovidae. The record is from Ensembl.
AGAGGAGCUAUCCCACGCUGAAGGUCAGGAAGGGCGGUGGUGAGGAGAUACCCCUCAUCCAAGGUAAGGAGCAGCAGCUGCGCUUUGCUGGAGCAGCCGUGAAGAGAUACCCAACGCCCAAGAUGACUGGCAAAUGCAAUGCUUUUUCAGGCAUGGAAGAAAACCAAGUCCUACGUCCGACCCCAGUACAGCCUGAGAGAGGAAAUCUGUUCAAGGUCUGAGGAGCCACACUGGCCUCACUGCGAGAUGAGUCUAAUUGCUGGGUCUACAGUGAGAUGCUGUUGUCCUCAUCCUCAGGACUUCGAUGAAAAACUGACCCGGCUAUUGUGACUCUGUGUGGACUACUCCCCGUGGGGGAGAAAGACUCUCACCAUCUUCCUGUCCUGCAUGCCAGUGCACCAGAAAGACCUCUGCUAGUAAACAUUACCGUACAACUGACUGCCCAUGACCCUCCCUGGGCUGUGUUGAAUGGAAUAGGCUGUCUUCAGGACACACAAGUCCAACUAGUGGGAUUAAAUGUUUUUUGUUUGGAAAGACCUAAUGGGUCCACCGCUAAUGGUACUCAAUAUAACACACAGUGACAGAUCUGUAUUGUGACAGCAGACUCUUGGCUAGGUCACCAGAAUGUUUCUUUUAAGGAUGAGCCUUCCCCUCCACUUGAGUGAGGUUCUGGGUUUGUGAAAACCAGGGGUGGCCUGUCUGUAUUGUAUUUGUGGUAUCCGGUUGCCUUGCCCCUCUACAUACCUGACUCCAGGGGUGUCGUGGAAGAGGGGCAGACCACAAUUGUAAAGGUUGUGCAGGAUAUGUAGGGGUGGAGUGUAUGGCCAGGCCACUCAAGAUGGCUGCUCUUUCAUUCUCUGUACCUCCCUGCCUGACCAGUGCCUGCUUUACCUACACCUACUCACAGGACUACACCUGACCUGUCUCCUGAGAAAUCUGUAUCCAGAUCAAGAACCAACAGUUAGAACUGGACAUGGAAAAACAGACUGGUUCCAAAUUGGGAAAGGAGUACAUCAAGGCUGUAUAUUGUCACCCUGCUUAUUUAACUUAUAUGCAGAGUACAUCAUGUGAAAUGCUGGGCUGGAUAAAGCACAAGCUGGAGUCAAGAUUGCCAGGAGAAAUAUAAAUAACCUCAGAUAUGC